Molecule: ribosomal RNA, 676 nt
Filed under: uncultured bacterium
Lineage: Bacteria
Description: bacterial SSU rRNA
Rfam family: Bacterial small subunit ribosomal RNA
Source: RNAcentral
AGAGUUUGAUCCUGGCUCAGGACGAACGCUGGCGGUGUGCUUCACACAUGCAAGUCGAGCGAAUGAAGAAGGUAGCUUGCUACUUUUGGAUUUAGCGGCGGACGGGUGAGUAAUAUAUAGGAAUCUGCCCUAGAGCGGGGAACAACAGACCGAAAGGUUUGCUAAUGCCCCAUAGGUACGCAGUCUUCGGAUUGUUUAUUAAAGGAGUAAUCCACUCUAGGAUGAGCCUGUAUCCGAUUAGCUAGUUGGCGGGGUAAAGGCCCACCAAGGCUACGAUCGGUAGUUGGUCUGAGAGGAUGAUCAGCCACAAUGGGACUGAGACACGGCCCAUACUCCUACGGGAGGCAGCAGUGGGGAAUUUUACACAAUGGGGGAAACCCUGAUGUAGCGACACCGCGUGAACGAAGAAGCCUUUUGGGGUGUAAAGUUCUGUCGGCUGGAACGAAAAAAAUGACGGUACCAGCAAAGGAAGCAUCGGCUAACUACGUGCCAGCAGCCGCGGUAAGACGUAGGAUGCAAGCGUUGUCCGGAUUUAUUGGGCGUAAAGAGUUCGUAGGCGGUUAUUUAAGUCUGGUGUUAAAUACUGUGGCCCAACCACAGAACUGCAUUGGAUACUGGAUGACUUGAGUGCGGUAGAGGCGGGUGGAAUUCCCAGUGUAGCGGUGAAAUGCGUAGA